RNAcentral lists this ribosomal RNA (301 nucleotides) under uncultured bacterium. Its description in RNAcentral is "partial 16S ribosomal RNA". It matches the Rfam family "Bacterial small subunit ribosomal RNA", at positions 509 to 807 of the family's 1533-position model. The record is from RNAcentral.
CAGCCGCCACGGUAAUACGAAGGGUGCAAGCGUUACUCGGAAUUACUGGGCGUAAAGCGUGCAUAGGUGGUGGUUUAAGUCCGUUGUGAAAGCCCUGGGCUCAACCUGGGAAUUGCAGUGGAUACUGGGUCACUAGAGUGUGGUAGAGGAUAGUGGAAUUUCCGGUGUAGCAGUGAAAUGCGUAGAGAUCGGAAGGAACAUCUGUGGCGAAGGCGACUAUCUGGGCCAACACUGACACUGAGGCACGAAAGCGUGGGGAGCAAACAGGAUUAGAUACCCCUGUAGUCCCUGUCUCUUAUAC